This 478-nucleotide ribosomal RNA is filed under the name uncultured bacterium. RNAcentral's name for it is "partial 16S ribosomal RNA". It matches the Rfam family "Bacterial small subunit ribosomal RNA", at positions 28 to 523 of the family's 1533-position model. The record is from RNAcentral.
GACGAACGCUGGCGGCGUGCUUAACACAUGCAAGUCGAGCGAGAAAAGUUCUUCGGAACUUUUCUAGCGGCGGACGGGCGAGUAACACGUGGGCAACCUGCCUGAUAGAGGGGGAUAGCCUCCCGAAGGGGAGAUUAAUACCGCAUAACAUCAUUUUAAGGCAUCUUAGAGUGAUCAAAGGAGUAAUCCACUAACAGAUGGGCCCGCGUGCCAUUAGCUAGUUGGGGAGGUAACGGCUAGCCAAGGCCACGAUGGGUAGCCGACCUGAGAGGGUGAUCGGCCACAUUGGGACUGAGACACGGCCCAGACUCGUACGGGAGGCAGCAGUGGGGAAUAUUGCACAAGGGGGGAAACCCUGAUGCAGCAACGCCGCGUGAGUGAUGAAGGCCUUCGGGUUGUAAAGCUCUGUCUUCAGGGACGAUAAUGACGGUACCUGAGGAGGAAGCCACGGCUAACUACGUGCCAGCAGCCGCGGUAA